This 297-nucleotide long non-coding RNA is filed under the name Actinidia chinensis (golden kiwifruit). Its description in RNAcentral is "long non-coding RNA (ACHI_LNC005663)". Lineage: Eukaryota; Viridiplantae; Streptophyta; Magnoliopsida; Ericales; Actinidiaceae. The record is from RNAcentral.
CAAUCCAGGUUCUCUCUCUUCAAAUUCAUCUCUAUCUUUUCUCCUUUUACAAUUACGAUGAUUUGUUUUCACGGCCUUUACAGAAGAUCACCGAAACGCACCCUAUAAGCCUAAUUCCUACACGUACAAUUUCACGGCAACCUCGACUGAUUCACUUUUUCAUUUCAAAAUUUGAAUUAUUUCAUCGGGUGGUAGAAGGAGCUAUAGCACACCAAGUGUUUGUAACAUUGCCUCUAUGAAUCUGAAUUCUUUUGCUUUUUUAUGUUCAUCUGGUGGUGGAAGGAGGGAUUGUACGCA